UGGGGAAUAUUGCACAAUGGGCGCAAGCCUGAUGCAGCCAUGCCGCGUGUGUGAAGAAGGCCUUCGGGUUGUAAAGCACUUUCAGCGAGGAGGAAGGUGGUGAGCUUAAUACGCUCAUCAAUUGACGUUACUCGCAGAAGAAGCACCGGCUAACUCCGUGCCAGCAGCCGCGGUAAUACGGAGGGUGCAAGCGUUAAUCGGAAUUACUGGGCGUAAAGCGCACGCAGGCGGUUUGUUAAGUCAGAUGUGAAAUCCCCGGGCUCAACCUGGGAACUGCAUUUGAAACUGGCAAGCUAGAGUCUCGUAGAGGGGGGUAGAAUUCCAGGUGUAGCGGUGAAAUGCGUAGAGAUCUGGAGGAAUACCGGUGGCGAAGGCGGCCCCCUGGACGAAGACUGACGCUCAGGUGCGAAAGCGUGGGGCAGCAAACAGGAUUAGAUACCCCUGGUAGUCCAGCGCUGUAAAACGAUGUCGAUUUUGGAGGUUGUGCCCUUGAGGCGUGGCUUCCGGAGCUAACGCGUUAAA
Molecule: ribosomal RNA, 522 nt
Filed under: uncultured bacterium
Lineage: Bacteria
Description: partial 16S ribosomal RNA
Rfam family: Bacterial small subunit ribosomal RNA
Source: RNAcentral